GAUGAACGCUGGCGGCGUGCCUAAUACAUGCAAGUCGAGCGAACGGACGCUAAGCUUGUUUCUCUGUUGUUAGCGGCGGACGGGUGUGUCACACGUGUAUACCCCACCUAUCAGACUGGGAUCACUUCGGGACACCGGCGCUUAUACCGUAUAAUAUCUUGCUCCGCAUGGUUCAAAAGUGAAAUACGGUCUUGCUGUCUCUUCUAGAUGCAUCCGCGCUGCAUUAGAUAGUUGUUACGGUAACGGCUUACCAAGGCAACGAUGCAUAGACGACCUGAGAGAGUGGUAGGCGACACUGGAAGUGAGACACGGUCAAGACGCCUAAGAGAGGCAGCAGAAGGGAAUCGUACGCAGUGGGGGAGAGCAUGACGGAGCAGGGCGGCGUGAGUGGCAAAGAUGUUCGGAGCGUAAAAAUCUGUUAUGAGGGAAGAACAGAUGUGGAAGGAAAUGAGCAGAGCGUGACGGUAACUGAUAAGAAAGCCACGGCUAACUACGUG
RNAcentral lists this ribosomal RNA (497 nucleotides) under uncultured bacterium. RNAcentral's name for it is "partial 16S ribosomal RNA". It matches the Rfam family "Bacterial small subunit ribosomal RNA", at positions 28 to 507 of the family's 1533-position model. The record is from RNAcentral.